RNAcentral lists this long non-coding RNA (1542 nucleotides) under Mus musculus (house mouse). RNAcentral's name for it is "long non-coding RNA chr1:136163288-136164830". The record is from RNAcentral. Lineage: Eukaryota; Metazoa; Chordata; Mammalia; Rodentia; Muridae.
CUAGCCAGCCAUGUCUGGUACGUGCUCAAGAGAUGCCGUCUCUCUCCACAAGGCACCUGGAAGCACAUAGCUAAACCACAGGCUGGAAACUCCCAGUGCGCACUCUACCUGGAUGGCCCGCAGCAGCUUUGAUGGUGUUGUCCAAAUGAACUUUAGCCUCUUUUUGUGGUCUUAAAACCUUCGUAGUUUCCAUCUUUCAAAGGCUUCCUUCUAUGAGGGAGCUCAGACUAUCAAGAGAAGUCACACUGGAGUGUCCAGUUAGUCAGAUACACAGGGGCCCAGCUCUGCAGAGUUCCCACACAUAUGACCCUUUAUGGCCCGACAGUCAUAUACUUAAUCUAGAGGUUUGGUGGCCUUUGCAGCUAAAUAGUGAGGCAUUAGGGUUCAGAGUAACCAUUGCAGCCUGCCUUGCUGAGAGGCAGGAAAAGAACCUGCGCCAGCCGCCAGCCUCCCAUCUUUGCCAAAGCAGAUGCGCAUAGCACUGGCUUGCAUGUGCUGCUGGUGGAGGGGAGUUGAACGGACAUCAUCUUCAGAGAACACGCUGAAGUUGUGGUCUGAGGGUGAAGCGGAACUCAUGAAUCUGGUCCAAAGGGAGGGGAAUGUAACGACAGCUUUCCAAAGAGAGGAAUGAGCGGGCCAGCAAGGUCAUAGACUCUUCCUUGAAGGAACUGUCAUUUCUCCCGGUUCAAGCAUUCUGAACACUGAAUCGUUGAAUCAGAGUCACUGGUCUCAGGGAGGAUGAGGGCUGUGUUCCUGUGAGAUGACUGCGAUGUCAGCAUCAGCAUCACCUUUUAUUAGGUCUGUCUCUAUUUAAAGGCACCCUAGUUACCGGAUGCUAUUGCUUGUUAGUACUGAGCUCGACCACAGCACUGUGGCACCAAGGAAGCUUGUGUAAUCUUUCCCAGCUUUCUAAUGCUUAGCAACUUCUGAGAGCACUGUCCCAUUAUGCAUGCCUUGGGACCAGUUCAGUGAUCAAACCCACCAUAUUGGGUCUGGUAGCCCACAUUUGUAAUCUUAGCACCCAGGAAAUAGAGGCAGGAGGAUCAUUUGCAAAGUCAGGGCCAGUCUGGUCUACAUGGUGAGAUCAUGUGUCACAACACAAACAAAAAUCAAAAGCACCGUUAAGAAGCACAGAAGGCAAUAAUAAAUAAAGGUUGCAAGCAAGGCACCAUCAGGACACCUGCUUCCAGGGUCGGGGUGGAAACAGCCUCUGCGAGAAGCACUCAUGCCAGUCACUCAGAAUUUUCACUACACUGCUUUGUCUAAGUCUGUGAUUCACAUAGAAAAGGACUGUGGGACUGCAAGCAGAUUCCAACUAGUAGGUGAAUCUCCAAAUACGCUAUGAGGAAGUGAUUUUUAAGAGGCUGAAGAGAUGGCUCUGUGCUUAAGAGCACAAUCCAUUCUUCCAGAAGCCCUGGGUUCAACUCCCAUCUCUCACGGGCUUCCCUCGAGUUCUAAGGUGUUUGGUGCUCUCUUCUGACCUCCGCAGGCACCACACACACACACAUUGUGCAUUGACACCCGCCCACACCAAAUCAAAUC